UUCCAGACUCCUACGGGAGGCAGCAGUGAGGAAUAUUGGUCAAUGGGCGCGAGCCUGAACCAGCCAAGUCGCGUGAGGGAGGACGGCCCUACGGGUUGUAAACCUCUUUUGCCGGGGAGCAACGGGCGUCACGUGUGGCGCCACUGAGAGUACCCGGAGAAAAAGCAUCGGCUAACUCCGUGCCAGCAGCCGCGGUAAUACGGAGGAUGCGAGCGUUAUCCGGAUUUAUUGGGUUUAAAGGGUGCGCAGGGGGAAGAUCAAGUCAGGGGUAAAAUGGGGGGGCUCAACCUCUUCGAGCCGUUGAAACUGGUUUUCUUGAGUGAGCGAGAAGUAUGCGGAAUGCGUGGUGUAGCGGUGAAAUGCAUAGAUAUCACGCAGAACUCCGAUUGCGAAGGCAGCAUACCGGCGCCCGACUGACGCUGAGGCACGAAAGCGUGGGUAUCGAACAGGAUUAGAUACCCGAGUA
RNAcentral lists this ribosomal RNA (466 nucleotides) under uncultured bacterium. RNAcentral describes it as "bacterial SSU rRNA". It matches the Rfam family "Bacterial small subunit ribosomal RNA", at positions 329 to 792 of the family's 1533-position model. The record is from RNAcentral.